This 405-nucleotide ribosomal RNA is filed under the name uncultured bacterium. Its description in RNAcentral is "bacterial SSU rRNA". It matches the Rfam family "Bacterial small subunit ribosomal RNA", at positions 355 to 774 of the family's 1533-position model. The record is from RNAcentral.
UGGGGAAUUUUACGCAAUGGGGGAAACCCUGACGUAGCGACACCGCGUGAGCGAAGAAGCCUUUUGGGGUGUAAAGCUCUGUCAGCUGGAACGAACACAAUGACGGUACCAGCAGAGGAAGCAUCGGCUAACUACGUGCCAGCAGCCGCGGUAAGACGUAGGAUGCAAGCGUUGUCCGGAUUCAUUGGGCGUAAAGAGUUCGUAGGUGGUCUGUUAAGUUUGGUGUUAAAGAGCGGGGCCCAACCCCGAUAGUGCACUGAAUACUGGCAGACUUGAGUGCGGUAGAGGUAAGUGGGAUUCCAAGUGUAGCGGUGAAAUGCAUAGAUAUUUGGAAGAACACCGGUGGCGUAAGCGCCUUACUGGGCCGUAACUGACACUGAGGAACGAAAGCCGGGGUAGCGAAUG